RNAcentral lists this ribosomal RNA (449 nucleotides) under uncultured bacterium. Its description in RNAcentral is "partial 16S ribosomal RNA". It matches the Rfam family "Bacterial small subunit ribosomal RNA", at positions 29 to 523 of the family's 1533-position model. The record is from RNAcentral.
AACGAACGCUGGCGGCAGGCCUAACACAUGCAAGUCGAGCGAGAUCUUCGGAUCUAGCGGCGGACGGGUGAGUAACGCGUGGGAAUAUGCCCUUCUCUACGGAAUAGCCUCGGGAAACUGGGAGUAAUACCGUAUACGCCCUUAGGAGGAAAGAUUUAUCGGAGAAGGAUUAGCCCGCGUUGGAUUAGGUAGUUGGUGGGGUAAUGGCCUACCAAGCCUACGAUCCAUAGCUGGUUUGAGAGGAUGAUCAGCCACACUGGGACUGAGACACGGCCCAGACUCCUACGGGAGGAAGCAGUGGGGAAUCUUAGACAAUGGGGGCAACCCUGAUCUAGCCAUGCCGCGUGAGUGAUGAAGGCCUUAGGGUUGUAAAGCUCUUUCAGCUGGGAAGAUAAUGACGGUACCAGCAGAAGAAGCCCCGGCUAACUCCGUGCCAGCAGCCGCCGUAA